This 514-nucleotide ribosomal RNA is filed under the name Dioszegia hungarica. RNAcentral's name for it is "eukaryotic LSU rRNA". The stretch from base 63 to 216 matches the Rfam family "5.8S ribosomal RNA". The record is from RNAcentral. Lineage: Eukaryota; Fungi; Basidiomycota; Tremellomycetes; Tremellales; Bulleribasidiaceae.
CUAUUUGCCUUCGGGCACCAAACAAACAUAAUGUAAUGAAUGUAAUCUACUAUAAUAAAUACAACUUUCAACAACGGAUCUCUUGGCUCUCACAUCGAUGAAGAACGCAGCGAAAUGCGAUAAGUAAUGUGAAUUGCAGAAUUCAGUGAAUCAUCGAAUCUUUGAACGCAAAUUGCGCCCUUUGGUAUUCCGAAGGGCAUGCCUGUUUGAGUGUCUUAUAAACCUCACCCCUAAUGUUUUAAUACAAUAGGUUGGUGCUUUGGGUGUUGCCAUUUACCUGGCUCGCCUUAAAUGACUAAGUGGAAUGCGUAAUAAGUUCUCGCAACCCUCCACUCUAAUACAAUUUAUAUUCUGACCUCAAAUCAGGUAGGACUACCCGCUGAACUUAAGCAUAUCAAUAAGCGGAGGAAAAGAAACUAACAAGGAUUCCCUUAGUAGCGGCGAGCGAAGCGGGAAGAGCUCAAAUUUGUAAUCUGGCGUCUUUCAGGCGUCCGAGUUGUAAUCUAUAGAAGUG